UACGAAGGGGGCUAGCGUUGUUCGGAAUUACUGGGCGUAAAGCGCAUGUAGGCGGCGAUUCAAGUCGGGGGUGAAAUCCCAGGGCUCAACCCUGGAACUGCCUUCGAUACUGUAUUGCUAGAGUAUGGAAGAGGUGGGUGGAACUGCGAGUGUAGAGGUGAAAUUCGUAGAUAUUCGCAAGAACACCAGUGGCGAAGGCGGCCUACUGGUCCAUCACUGGCGCUGAGAUGUGAAAGCGUGGGGAGCAAACAGG
RNAcentral lists this ribosomal RNA (253 nucleotides) under uncultured bacterium. Its description in RNAcentral is "partial 16S ribosomal RNA". It matches the Rfam family "Bacterial small subunit ribosomal RNA", at positions 524 to 776 of the family's 1533-position model. The record is from RNAcentral.